This 740-nucleotide ribosomal RNA is filed under the name uncultured archaeon. RNAcentral describes it as "bacterial SSU rRNA". It matches the Rfam family "Archaeal small subunit ribosomal RNA", at positions 1 to 750 of the family's 1478-position model. The record is from RNAcentral.
UUCCGGUUGAUCCCGCCGGACCCGACUGCUAUCAGAGUGGGACUAAGCCAUGCGAGUCGACGUAGCAAUGCGUGGCGAACGGCUCAGUAACACGUAGUCAACAUGCCCAGGGGACGUGGAUAACCUCGGGAAACUGAGAAUAAACCACGAUAGGUCACGAUUUCUGGAAUGGAUCAUGGCAUAAAUCUACAUGGCCCCUGGAUUGGACUGCGGCCGAUCAGGCAGUUGGUGAGGUAAUGGCCCACCAAACCUAUAACCGGUACGGGCUCUGAGAGGAGAAGCCCGGAGAUGGGCACUGAGACAAGGGCCCAGGCCCUAUGGGGCGCAGCAGGCGCGAAACCUCUGCAAUAGGCGAAAGCCUGACAGGGUUACUCUGAGUGAUUUCCGCUAAGGGGAUCUUUUGGCACCUCUAAAAAUGGUGCAGAAUAAGGGGUGGGCAAGUCUGGUGUCAGCCGCCGCGGUAAUACCAGCACCCCGAGUGGUCGGGACGUUUAUUGGGCCUAAAGCAUCCGUAGCCGGUCCUGCAAGUCUUCCGUUAAAUCCAGCUGCUCAACAGAUGGGCUGCGGAAGAUACUAUAGGGCUAGGAGGCGGGAGAGGCAAGCGGUACUCGAUGGGUAGGGGUAAAAUCCGUUGAUCCAUUGAAGACCACCAGUGGCGAAGGCGGCUUGCCAGAACGCGCUCGACGGUGAGGGAUGAAAGCUGGGGGAGCAAACCGGAUUAGAUACCCGGGUAGUCCCAG